Triticum aestivum (bread wheat) is the source of this 290-nucleotide long non-coding RNA. RefSeq lists it as uncharacterized. NCBI's taxonomy places the organism in Eukaryota, Viridiplantae, Streptophyta, Magnoliopsida, Poales, Poaceae. The record is from RefSeq and is a predicted model, not a curated record. The transcript is spliced from 4 exons.
CAGCAUCUAGUUAAGUUGCACAUUUGUUGAAGUGAUCCUGUAUGGCUAUACCUUAACAGGUUAUGGCCAACUCUGCGGAGAAAAUUAGACUUGCUGGAAAUCAAAAUGUGAUGGUCUGUGAGCGAGGCACCAUGUUUGGCUACAAUGAUCUAAUUGUUGAUCCAAGGAACUUUGAGUGGCUGAGGGAAGCAAAUUGCCCAGUUGUAGCUGAUGUAACACAUGCUCUACAACAACCAGCUGGGAAAAAGCUUGAUGGUGGCGGGGUUGCAAGUGGGGGCUUACAAGAACUC